This 1540-nucleotide ribosomal RNA is filed under the name Klebsiella aerogenes. RNAcentral's name for it is "bacterial SSU rRNA". It matches the Rfam family "Bacterial small subunit ribosomal RNA". The record is from RNAcentral. Lineage: Bacteria; Pseudomonadati; Pseudomonadota; Gammaproteobacteria; Enterobacterales; Enterobacteriaceae.
AAAUUGAAGAGUUUGAUCAUGGCUCAGAUUGAACGCUGGCGGCAGGCCUAACACAUGCAAGUCGAGCGGUAGCACAGAGAGCUUGCUCUCGGGUGACGAGCGGCGGACGGGUGAGUAAUGUCUGGGAAACUGCCUGAUGGAGGGGGAUAACUACUGGAAACGGUAGCUAAUACCGCAUAACGUCGCAAGACCAAAGUGGGGGACCUUCGGGCCUCAUGCCAUCAGAUGUGCCCAGAUGGGAUUAGCUAGUAGGUGGGGUAAUGGCUCACCUAGGCGACGAUCCCUAGCUGGUCUGAGAGGAUGACCAGCCACACUGGAACUGAGACACGGUCCAGACUCCUACGGGAGGCAGCAGUGGGGAAUAUUGCACAAUGGGCGCAAGCCUGAUGCAGCCAUGCCGCGUGUAUGAAGAAGGCCUUCGGGUUGUAAAGUACUUUCAGCGAGGAGGAAGGCGUUAAGGUUAAUAACCUUGGCGAUUGACGUUACUCGCAGAAGAAGCACCGGCUAACUCCGUGCCAGCAGCCGCGGUAAUACGGAGGGUGCAAGCGUUAAUCGGAAUUACUGGGCGUAAAGCGCACGCAGGCGGUCUGUCAAGUCGGAUGUGAAAUCCCCGGGCUCAACCUGGGAACUGCAUUCGAAACUGGCAGGCUAGAGUCUUGUAGAGGGGGGUAGAAUUCCAGGUGUAGCGGUGAAAUGCGUAGAGAUCUGGAGGAAUACCGGUGGCGAAGGCGGCCCCCUGGACAAAGACUGACGCUCAGGUGCGAAAGCGUGGGGAGCAAACAGGAUUAGAUACCCUGGUAGUCCACGCCGUAAACGAUGUCGACUUGGAGGUUGUGCCCUUGAGGCGUGGCUUCCGGAGCUAACGCGUUAAGUCGACCGCCUGGGGAGUACGGCCGCAAGGUUAAAACUCAAAUGAAUUGACGGGGGCCCGCACAAGCGGUGGAGCAUGUGGUUUAAUUCGAUGCAACGCGAAGAACCUUACCUACUCUUGACAUCCAGAGAACUUAGCAGAGAUGCUUUGGUGCCUUCGGGAACUCUGAGACAGGUGCUGCAUGGCUGUCGUCAGCUCGUGUUGUGAAAUGUUGGGUUAAGUCCCGCAACGAGCGCAACCCUUAUCCUUUGUUGCCAGCGGUCCGGCCGGGAACUCAAAGGAGACUGCCAGUGAUAAACUGGAGGAAGGUGGGGAUGACGUCAAGUCAUCAUGGCCCUUACGAGUAGGGCUACACACGUGCUACAAUGGCAUAUACAAAGAGAAGCGACCUCGCGAGAGCAAGCGGACCUCAUAAAGUAUGUCGUAGUCCGGAUUGGAGUCUGCAACUCGACUCCAUGAAGUCGGAAUCGCUAGUAAUCGUAGAUCAGAAUGCUACGGUGAAUACGUUCCCGGGCCUUGUACACACCGCCCGUCACACCAUGGGAGUGGGUUGCAAAAGAAGUAGGUAGCUUAACCUUCGGGAGGGCGCUUACCACUUUGUGAUUCAUGACUGGGGUGAAGUCGUAACAAGGUAACCGUAGGGGAACCUGUGGUUGGAUCACCUCCUUA